CAUGCUCAGUGUAAAUUCUCCUGGAGCCUGUCAAGCUAUGUUUGAACUCGUUCCAGGAUAGUGGAUUUACUUUUUUUUCCCCACCAGGAAGAAUACUCGAUUAGACUGCAUUUUGCCUUGCUUUUCCUUCUCCCUUUCUCUCUCUUUCUUUCUUUCUUUCUUUCUUUCUUUCUUUCUUUCUUUCUUUCUUUCUUUCUUUCUUUCUUUCUUUCUUUUUCUUUCUCUCUCUCUCUCUCUUUCUUUCUUUCCUUUCUUUUCUUUCUUUCCUCUUUCUCUUUCCUUCUUUCUUUUUUUCUUCUUUCUUUCCUUCCUUCCUUCCAUCUUUCUUUUCUUUCUUUCCAUUUUUUUUUUCCUCCAGAAGAAUGGAAACAGUAUUCUUUUCCGAUCAGUUCAGUAAUACAAUGUCCUUCAGUGUCCAUAUGAGCAUUUCAGUGGAGAAGAAAAGAAACUUUGCUACCUGGGAACUGAAGACUACUUAGUGAAGAUCCCGGUGUUACACAUCCAAUCGUUCACCUCCUUCCAAGACUAUGACAUUCCAGGAAACCUUCACUGCUAAGAGGAACUAAGAUCUAGAGUAUCUCCUCGAGGAAGUACAACUGGUAAUUAAUAAGAAGUCCAGUGGCUCACACCUGCGAUCCCAGCACUUUGGGAGGCUGAGAUGGGCAGAUUGCUCGAGCCCAGGAAUUCAAGACCAACCUGGGCAACAUGGCAAAACCCCAUCUCUACAAAAAUACAAAAAUUAACCAGAUGUGAUGGUUCAUGCCUGUAGUCCCAGCUACUCUGGAGGCUGAUGUGGGAGGAUCGCUUGAGCCUAGGAAGUCAAGGCUGCAGUGAGUCAUGAUUGCUCCGCUCCACUGCACUCUGGCCUUGAUGAUAGAGUGAGAACCAGUCUCAAAAAAAAAAAGGUCAUUUUCUAAGCAUUUGUUGAUUCAAUACUGCCCACUAUGUACACUGACAAUUAGACAUAAUUUAAUUUCAGCUCAUGGUAUGAAUGGAGACAAAAUGAAAUCAUUUUAAUGCACAUUAAGGCAAUAUAGUGCCCUUAAAUAAAAAGUUGAAGUUCAUAAGGGACCAUCAUUAAGAUUUAACUUUGUAACAAAUAUUUUGUUUUUGUUUGUUUUAUUUUUAGAUUUGCAUAAUAAAACAUUCAUAUUC
This 1155-nucleotide long non-coding RNA is filed under the name Homo sapiens (human). RNAcentral's name for it is "mir-100-let-7a-2-mir-125b-1 cluster host gene". Lineage: Eukaryota; Metazoa; Chordata; Mammalia; Primates; Hominidae. The record is from RNAcentral.